UCUUCCUCAUUUGUGGGUAGAUGUCAAGGCUUACAUCAUUAGUUCCUCCUUUGACACAGUAAAUUCUAACUGGAAUAGUCAUGGCACUAUUUAAAUCAUAUGUAUAUUAGCAGAAGGGUGGUAACAUACACUAAAAUAUGGUAAUUCGUCUCAGGUUUCAGUAUAUUGGCCCUUUUUACCUAGCUUCUUUCCCCUUUCACCUAUACUCCUGUCUUGGCUGGGUGUAGAAAUGCUACUCUUCGAGGACUAUUAACUCCCUGGCUUCACAUAAAUGAGGAGUAAUUUUUUCCCCCUGGAAUAUCUGGGAAAUUAGAAAUGCCAUUUCUCCAGCUAGAAGUCCAUAAGUCAACUCAUUACUGUGAAAGGGCCAACAGCAUUUAAUUGGCUGGUGUUAUGUAAUGUAUACUACGGGGAAAUCACUAGGAAGAGAAGAAAUAGACAAGAAGAUAUUCCCUGUGAUGAGAAUUCAAAGCCAACUUUCAGAGAGACAAUCUCUUUAAAAAAGCUUCUACUCCUUUUUUAUACAGGUUAGAGAUUUAAAGAGUUAAAAGCAAAGAUAGACAUGACAUUUGCUAUAUUCAUUAAGGUAAGUAAUUAGAGUUUUUAUGGCCAAUUUAAAUUGAUUUUAGUUCAAACAGAUGCUCAUAAUAUGCAUUUCUUCUUAUGUUCCCCUAAAUGUCCCUAAAAUAGCGAUUAUUGGGAUACUCUUAAUAGACAAUAAGCUGAGAAGGAAGUCUUAGGAACAAAAGGAAUUAGAUAGGUCUCAGAGUUAAAAUACACAGUAUCUCAGAUGAUUUCCUGGUGAGUGAGCAAGGGGUGAGGUGGGUGGGUAACCUCACUGACAGUAUCAUCUUAUCUGGAUAAAAGGAAAAGUUUGAAAAUGGUUUGGCCGGAGAUGAAAACAUGAGAGAAUGGAGGAACAGGAGAACAGUAUUUGUAGUGAGGGAGGAGGAGGUGUGCUGGCUGCUUAUCCACUUGCCCUGUGGCAAUGCUGUGCCCCCACCCACCCCCAAAGUAUAGAUCAGCUGUCAAACUGUUCCAUCUGCCUGAAAAUUCAGCUUCUCCCCAAUGUGAUAAGUUCAUAAUUCAGUUCAUGUACCUGCUUCCUUGUGCGCUGUCAGUGUGAGUCAGGAUUCUUGAGAUUGGUUAAGGUUAGGGCACUGAUGAUAUUGUUUUUAUCAGCCUGUGAAGUUGAGAGCUGUAACCUGUCCCUUGGUGAAUUCACCAAGGGAACCUCCACCACCUGGCUGGAUACCUCUCCCUGAUUAACAUUCUUGCAGCAUCAGUAGGUAAGCGUUUCAUCAUUCAGUUGCUGAACACAUUUCUUCUCUGGGAGAAUUUAUUCUCGGUGAUUUUCAAAAACAAUAUGGUCAGUAUUCAAAAUGUUUUCUAAAAAGCCAAUAUUGGGAGUCCUUUGGGGAAUCUGCUUUUCUAUAUGCUCAGGGCUAAUUGCUAUGUUAGACAAAUGUUUCCUGAAUUAAUAAGCUGAAUGAAGAAAUAAGAGACAAUUUUAACAACAAUAGAAAAUACCUACAUGGGGAAGAGGAAAAAAUUACUAAUUCCAAAACCAGUGAUGUAUUAGCACAAAAUCACCUAAGAGUUAACUUUCAGCCACCCUGAUAGUGAUUACAUUCGUAAGUCUUGUUUUAUUACCAUCUCCCAUUUCAGUUAGGUGGUGAAAGUUGGGUCAUGAACUUGAAAGUGAAGAGUGAGAGGAGGAAGUGGAGAGAGUUUUGGGAUCCAGCCCAUGAAAGCUUAAAAUUGGGACGCUCCUAAGAGCUGGCUGCUCUGUGAUCCUAGCACCCAGGUCUUUAACUGAGACUUGUAAGAAGAAUGAGACUUAUAAGAAGAAUGAAAUGAUUCUAAGGUAAAACCUAGAAGGCUUAAGCUCACAAACAGCACAUUGACCCACCAUGUGAUCAUCACUAGCGCUUUUAUCUCAACAAAUUGACCUCAUAAUGGGGAAUGAAGCUCUCAAAGGAGAAAGGAAUGACAAAUUUCCAGCCCCCAACUAAUAUCCCAUCCAGGUUUAUGAACAUACAAGACUUACAAGUACUUGCUUAACUGGGGAUUAAAGGUAAACUUGCCUUGAAAAUGAAUAAGACAGGGCUCUUUUAUUGCAUAUACAGUUAAGUUAGAGAAAGCUAGCUUGAUAAAUCAUCUUUUCAGAAAUCUGAACUUAAACAAAAAUACUUCUAGGAGAAACUUGCAUAUCUGUCCCUAUGCCUUUGAGAUGUCAACAUUCUCUACCUGAUCUUCUUGAAUAUUGUGUGUGUGUUAUGAAAACUUGGUCUCUGCCCUCUGGAAGAUAGAUAUAUGGUAGACAUUUGGCAGCCAGUCUAACAGACUGGAAUUCAGAGCAGUCUCUUGUCUUACUGCCAGCUCCCAGGAGCCUUUUGUUGUGCUAACCUUUGUUGAGGCAGCCUGUACAACAAAGGUCUUUAGUUAGACUGGUUUGAGGGGUAAAUGUUCUGGUCCUGUUUAGGAGGCAUUCUUCCCACUUUCUUUUAGAGGUGCCUCUUACCUCUUAUUGGUUUGAGUCACUAUUAAGAUGUAUAUUGUCAAUGCCAGAUGAUGGAUCCUUCAGAGAGCUUUCAUUAUAAACAGCUGUUUUAUUGGUACUUAGGAACAAAAGUUCAUAGAGGCAGAAAAUAUUUUAUACAUAAGGUUUUAUACAUAUAGGUUAACCUAACUCCCUUAGUUUAAAAUAAACAAUAAACAAAAUUCUUUUAAUGGCUGCACCCAUGGCGUAUAGAAGUUCCUGAGCCAGAGAUUGAAUCCAAGACAACACAGUAUGGCAACUCUGGAUCCUUUAACCCACUGCUCUGGGCUAGUGAUCGAACUCCUGCCUCUGUAGCAACCUGAGCCACUGCAGUUGGAUUCUUAAAUUCAAACCACUGGAAAGGCUCCCUUGCCCCAAAUCUGAUUUGUAACCUUCUUAAGGGUUUAUCAAAGACAAAUACAUAGCUUAAGUCUUUUCCACAAAUAGUAAAGCCUUAGUCAUUUGAGCAGAUACAUUUUCUUAUUCCAGCUAUUAUUUAUAAACUAGUAAAUCUAUGUUGUAAUACUUGAUUAAUAACUGAAUUUUUAAAGUGAAGCUAUGAAAUCUUUAGUUUUGUAUGUUUAUAUGUUUGUGUGGUAGGAUCUAUCUCUAUCUUCAGAUAAUGUGAUCAAAAUUAAAUGUAUAAAAGAGCUAAUUGACUUAAAAGUAAGCACUUAACAAAAAUGAACCUGGCCAGAAUGAAUUUCAGGUUCACAUUCAAUAGUAAAUUAAAUUUGAUAUUAAAGCUAGCUUAAGCUUGUUGGUUUAAUCAAUACAGAUAUGUCUUUAUUUUAUCUAGGUUUAUUGAAGGUCAAUAAGUUCAUGUUAUUUCUGUUGUAUUUUGUCAGCAAGAAAAAUAUUAACUUGGUGUGAUUUUUAUAAGUUGUAAAGGUAAAUGAGAUGAGUUUUCAGGUGAACGUUUUAGGAAUAAUUAUGUCUUGGACAUGUCUAUCUUAAAAUAUUUUCUCCAAAUAUUUUGUUAACUUAAGUUUUCCUAAGUUAAAUGCUGGGAAUUUAUUGAAUAUCCAGGUAAUUAAGAUAGAAUAUUAAUUGCCCAAUAAGUCUAAAUUUACCUAUUUUUGUCUCCAUCAAGAGGGAUACUAAAUAAAUUUGGGUUUAUUAGACACUUGUACCACAUUGAGAAGAAAUUAUGCUAUGAGGCAAUGUAUGUUUCUAGAGGUUAUAAAACAUUCCAAUCAGUAAACUCUGGUAUGACAAAGAGUUCAUGAGUACUUGCUACAUGUCAUUUUUCACUAGAGGUUAAGGUUUUUAAGGGUUAACAUCAUAAUAGGUAAUUAAGGAUACUAAAUAUAAACAAGAGAAACUUCUCAGUAUGCAAGGAAAGUAGGACGGGUGUUUUCAGCAAAAGAAAGGAUAAGGAAUGGAAAUACAUUUUGUUAAGAGGAAAGAAUGUCAUCAUAGAUUGUGCACCCUGAGGGAAUUCAGGAUGGACAAAAAAACAGAAUAUUGGCCCUAGAUAGUUGAGGUGCAUAUCAAAGGAAUGAUUUCAAUGGGCCCAGACUCUUAUUAUCUUCCUCUUCAUUAACUUGAGAUGUGUGAUUUUUCCUUAAUUAACAUUAAUUAGUUGAUGUUCUCACUACCUGGAAGUUUUUGUUGCAAAAACUUCUGUACAUCCUAGCUCUGCCCUUACCUCAGCAAAUCCAUCAAAAAAACCAUAAAUCUCAAAUUUUAGGUUGUGCAUUUUUUUUUCAGUUGACAGUACUAAAUUUCAAAUGUAGGAAAUGAUGUAUUUCUAUGUGCUUUAUUUUUUAAAUGUUAUUUCAGUAGAUUCUACCAACAAAUUAGAAUGUUAGAGAAAAAAUUUUCAGUCUUCCAGCUGCUAUGUUACAUAGAUUUCCUUAACAUUAAUUUUCACACACAAUUGCCUCUCUUAUUUCAAAACAAGAUUUUAUCUUAUUUAUUCAUUUUUUGUCUUUUUGCUAUUUCUUGGGCCGCUCCCGUAGCACAUGGAGGUUCCCAGGCUGGGGUCGAAUCG
This is a non-coding RNA of Sus scrofa (pig), 4538 nucleotides long. The record is from RefSeq and is a predicted model, not a curated record. Lineage: Eukaryota; Metazoa; Chordata; Mammalia; Artiodactyla; Suidae.